Molecule: small RNA, 1037 nt
Filed under: uncultured Pelagibacterales bacterium
Lineage: Bacteria; Pseudomonadati; Pseudomonadota; Alphaproteobacteria; Candidatus Pelagibacterales
Description: bacterial SSU rRNA
Rfam family: Bacterial small subunit ribosomal RNA (bases 1-658)
Source: RNAcentral
CACCGCCUGGGGAGUACGACCGCAAGGUUAAAACUCAAAUGAAUUGACGGGGACCCGCACAAGUAGCGGAGCAUGUGGUUUAAUUCGAAGAUACGCGCAGAACCUUACCAACACUUGACAUGUUCGUCGCGACUUUAAGAGAUUAAAGUUUUCGGUUCGGCCGGACGAAACACAGGUGCCGCAUGGCUGUCGUCAGCUCGUGUCGUGAGAUGUUGGGUUAAGUCCCGCAACGAGCGCAACCCUCACUUUUAGUUGCCAUCAUUUAGUUGGGCACUCUGAAAGAACUGCCAGUGAUAAGCUGGAGGAAGGUGGGGAUGACGUCAAGUCCUCAUGGCCCUUACGUGUUGGGCUACACACGUGCUACAAUGGUAUCUACAACAGGAAGCAAGACGGCGACGUUAAGCAAAUCCUUAAAAGAUACCUCAGUUCGGAUUGCACUCUGCAACUCGAGUGCAUGAAGCUGGAAUUACUAGUAAUCGUGGAUCAGCGUGCCACGGUGAAUGCGUUCCCGGGUCUUGUACACACCGCCCGUCACACCAUGGGAGUUGGUUCUACCUUAAGGCAAGGUUUCAAACCCUUGACCACGGUAUAGUCAGCGACUGGGGUGAAGUCGUAACAAGGUAGCCGUAGGGGAACCUGCGGCUGGAUUACCUCCUUUCUAAGGAUGAAUGAAAUUUGUUUUCAUUCUAAAUAAUAAACAGGUAAUGUUGACCGUCCUCAUUUCUCUUCUUAAAGUAGUGUUUCUCUUGCAUGGGGGCCGGUAGCUCAGUUGGUUAGAGCACACCCUUGAUAAGGGUGGGGUCGAAAGCUCGAGUCUUUCUCGGCCCACCAAAUAGAUCAUGGGGGAUUAGCUCAGCUGGGAGAGCGCCUGAUUUGCAUUCAGGAGGUCAGCGGUUCGAUCCCGCUAUCCUCCACCAAAACACUUAGUUAUAAAAAAUCGUGAAAAAAAAAUUAAUAUCAAUAUCUAUAUCCGAACAUUAGUAAUGUUAUUAGCUAAUGUUCAAAAAAAAUUUGAUUCAACACAGAAUUUUUUUCUG